AAUAACCUUAUUUUUCGUUUUUUCAUGUCUAACGUUUGACUAUUCAUAUUAUUUGAAAUUUUUUAGCGAUUAAUAUUUUUAUUAUUACUAGAUAAUAAAAUAUAAAUAGUAUUUUAUAUGUGACUAUUUUUUUAAAAUUUUUAUAUAAAAUUUUUAAAUAAGAUGAAUAGUAAAACGUUGGAUAGAAAAAAC
This 192-nucleotide microRNA precursor is filed under the name Oryza brachyantha (malo sina). RNAcentral describes it as "MIR812 microRNA precursor family". It matches the Rfam family "MIR812 microRNA precursor family". The record is from Rfam by way of RNAcentral. Lineage: Eukaryota; Viridiplantae; Streptophyta; Magnoliopsida; Poales; Poaceae.